GGUGAAUAAGUCAUCUUACGAAAACCAAAUAAUCCCAAAACAAUUAGGCACGAUGCAUUAACUUUCACCUCGUUUCUUGUUUUUUGACAUGAAUAAAGGAAUCAACCAAUAAGAGAUGUGGGGCAUGUAUGUUUUUAAUGACUUGAGACUAACUAGCACAACAUGCAUUGGUCAAUUCAUUGCAUGCAAUUGUAUUAAUUAGCAAAUUAGCAUUGAUUUCUCUCGUUUUCCUCUCCAUC
RNAcentral lists this long non-coding RNA (239 nucleotides) under Hordeum vulgare. RNAcentral describes it as "long non-coding RNA (HVUL_LNC003229)". Lineage: Eukaryota; Viridiplantae; Streptophyta; Magnoliopsida; Poales; Poaceae. The record is from RNAcentral.